This is an RNA transcript of Mangifera indica (mango), 3396 nucleotides long. RefSeq lists it as uncharacterized. NCBI's taxonomy places the organism in Eukaryota, Viridiplantae, Streptophyta, Magnoliopsida, Sapindales, Anacardiaceae. The record is from RefSeq and is a predicted model, not a curated record. The transcript is spliced from 19 exons.
CUGGCAACUACAACACUUUUCUUGGCUAAAUAGAACCAAACACUUGACACCAGUCACACCACGUAUCGCACAAAACUUCGACAGCUCCUUUGUCCCCGAGGGAAAGGCAUAUCUGCUCAGUGGUCAUUUGUAUUCGGAUAAAACGCUUUCUGCUACGUCACCUUAUUCUCUCACUUAACUUUCCUUUCCAUUUUCCCGCUAACCAAACAGCUUCUGUUCUACUGAUUUUCUUUCUGUUACAUGGCAGUUAAGUUACAUUAUCAUUCCUUCGUCUCUAGUUCCAGUUCAUCAAAUCCAUGUCUUUCACGAAAUUCAAUUAGCACAUGCAUUUCCUUUAGAAAAGGGGCUGGGUUGGAGUACCUAGUUAGUAAUUGUGGCAAUGCAAGGAAGAAGAACUUUCUGAGACUUGCUAUGUUUGAUAAAGGAAAUUACAGUCUUAAUCACCACUUGGUGGGUUGUAGUAAAAAUUUUGCGAACCUCUGUAAAUCAAGAAGAGUGGGACAUUUCUUGCCCCUUGCAUCUGCAGAUGAUGGUGUAACUGUCAAUGGAAGUCCUCAAGCAAGUACCGAUACCAAUGUUGAGGAAAUCAAGGUUAAACUAAAUCAAUCACUCCAAGGCAAAGAUUGCUGUGAUGGACUUGUUCAAUCUUUACACGACGCAGCUAGAGUUUUCGAGCUUGCCAUUAAAGAACAAGGCUCACAAUCAAACAUGGCUUGGCUAUCAACUUGGAUGGGUGUAGAUCGGAAUGCAUGGAUAAAAACACUCUCUUAUCAGGCUUCUGUAUAUUCCUUAUUACAAGCUGCAAGUGAUGUCUCAUCCCGAGGUGAAGAUAGAGACAGGGAUAUAUAUGUUUUUGUCCAAAGAAGCUUAUUGCGACAAUCUGCUCCUCUAGAGAGCAUAAUUAGGGAGAAACUAUCAGCCAAGCAACCUGAAGCUUAUGAAUGGUUUUGGUCUGAGCAAAUUCCAGUGGUUGUGACAUCCUUUGUGAAUUAUUUUGAAGAGGACCAGCGUUUUGCUGCUGCUACUGCUGUGACUGCGAAAGGUAUGUCCUUGGGCUCUGGAAAUGCUAGCGACAUUUCACUCCUCAUGCUUGCAUUGACCUGCAUUGCUGCAAUCACAAAACUUGGUCCAGCCAAAGUUUCUUGUUCUCAGUUCUUCUCCAUGAUUCCUGAUGUAACUGGUAGAUUCAUGGACAUGCUGGUUGAUAUUAUUCCCAUACACAAAGCUUAUGAUUCUGUAAAAGAAAUUGGUCUCCGCAGAGAAUUUCUUGUCCAUUUUGGUCCUCAGGCUUCGGCAUGUAGAGUGAAGAAUGAUCAGGGUUCCAAAGAGGUUAUUUUUUGGGUUGAUCUUGUACAGAAGCAGCUUCAGCGAGCCAUAGAUAGAGAAAAAAUAUGGUCAAGACUAACGACAUCCGAAAGCAUUGAGGUUUUGGAGAGAGAUUUGGCAAUAUUUGGAUUCUUUAUUGCCUUAGGCAGAAGUACACAGUCCUUUCUAUCUGUAAAUGGAUUUGAUGUCAUAGACGAUCCCCUUGAAGGCUUCAUUAGGUACCUUAUUGGAGGCAGUGUGUUAUACUAUCCUCAACUCUCAACAAUAAGUUCUUAUCAAUUGUAUGUGGAGGUAGUUUGUGAAGUGCUGGAUUGGCUUCCUUUCUAUAAUGGUAACAUUGGCACCCCAAGACAGUCCCAUGGCCACAAAAGCAAACGAGAAGGUCCCCCUAAUGCUGAAGCUAUCCCCCAAGUAUUAGAUGUGUGCUCUCAUUGGAUUCAGAGCUUUAUUAAAUACAGUAAUUGGCUGGAGAACCCUUCAAAUGUUAAGGCAGCAAAAUUCUUGUCCAGGGGGCAUAACAAGUUGACAGACUGCAUGAAAGAAUUUGGCAUGUCAAAAAGUGAGAUGACAGAGAGCACUGAAUCUGGAACUCAUUCACCAGCUGAGAAAGAUUCAGAUUCUUUUGAUAAGGCAUUGGAGAGUGUUGAAGAAGCUCUGAUAAGACUUGAAAAAUUGCUUCAAGAACUGCAUUUGGCAAGUUCUAGUUCUGGAAAAGAGCAACUGAAAGCUGCCUGUUCUGAUCUUGAGAAAAUAAGAAAACUUAAGAAGGAGACUGAGUUCCUAGAGGCUUCUUUCAGAGCAAAAGUAGCUUCUCUUAAGCAGGGAGAUGAUGACAGUGAUUCCCAGUCUUCCAGUAGUGAACAGAAAAUAUACUUGAAGGGCAAAAAGAGAAGCACUAACAUAAUGCAAGAUUGGGCCAAGAGUAAAUCUCGUGGAUUGUUGAGCUUCUUUAUGUGCCUUCCCACCAGGAAGCCUGAGCCUGAAUUAUCCGUUGUCGAUGAAUAUGGAAAUAAAUAUAUUGGGCUGACAACUUCAAACGUAGGCGUUGCAAACUCAGAGUCCAAUGAAAUUCGCCGCUUUGAACUUCUAAGACAUGAGCUUAUUGAACUUGAGAAAAGAGUUCAAAGAAGUGCUGAUCAGUCACAAAAUGAGGAGGAUAUAAAGGUUCUGAAUGAUGGUGCUAACCACAGUGAUGCAGCUAGAGACACUCAAGUGGUCCAGGUUCAGAAGAACAAAAGUAUCAUUGAAAGAUCAAUUGACAAACUAAAAGAAGCUAGCACGGAUGUCUGGCAAGGAACUCAGCUUCUGGCUAUUGAUGUUGCUGCUGCCAUGGGGUUGCUUAGGAGGGCACUGGUUGGAGAUGAAUUAACAGACAAAGAAAAGAAAGCUCUCCGGCGAACUCUCACUGACUUAGCAUCUGUAGUACCUAUUGGUCUUUUAAUGCUUCUGCCUGUUACUGCAGUUGGUCAUGCAGCCAUGUUGGCUGCUAUUCAGAGAUAUGUGCCAGCUUUGAUACCUUCCACCUAUGGACCAGAAAGGCUAGAUCUCUUGAGGCAGCUUGAGAAAGUUAAGGAAAUGGAAACCAGUGAAGUGGACCCUGAUGAAAAUGUGGGUGAACUAAUCUGAGUAGCACUGGCACAAUUUGUUAAAAUACAUCCCUAAAAAAUUUGAAUCCAGAUCUCAAAGUGAGGUAAUAUUUUUGCCCAGGUAGGCACCAAUGGCUGCAGUCUUGGGGAGCACCAGCAGGGGUGCCUGGCUCACGAUGGGAUGAGGGGUGUCCGUCACUCCUGAACUCUGUCAGAUAUGUAAUGUUUAAUAACUGAACCUUCCUGUUUUUGUUUUUCAUCUGCUUGAUUACGUUUGAAAUGAAACGGUUGUUGAGGGGCUCAACUCCAAGUCUUGUGGUGAUUGUUUCUGGUUUUCUGUCUCUAUCACAAAAACCUCCUUUAUUCCAUGCUCCAUUCCUGCAAAGGUCAUAUGUAAAGCUAAUUCUGGCUGUUCUUGCAGACAUUCAUGUACCCUCUUAGAUUGAAUACUCAAAAAGAGGUAAAAACAUAUUUUUAUCCUAAA